UGGGGAAUAUUGCGCAAUGGGGGAAACCCUGACGCAGCAACGCCGCGUGAGUGACGAAGGCCUUCGGGUCGUAAAGCUCUGUCGGAGGGGAAGAAACUAUCCGGCGCUAAUAUCGCCGGGUAUUGACGGUACCCUCAAAGGAAGCACCGGCUAACUCCGUGCCAGCAGCCGCGGUAAUACGGAGGGUGCGAGCGUUGUUCGGAAUUACUGGGCGUAAAGCGCGUGUAGGCGGCUUAUUACGUCAGGUGUGAAAGCCCUCGGCCUAACCGAGGAAGUGCGCCUGAAACUGAUAAGCUUGAGUACGAGAGAGGAGGACGGAAUUCCCAGUGUAGAGGUGAAAUUCGUAGAUAUUGGGAGGAACACCGGCGGCGAAAGCGGUUCUCUGGAUCGAUACUGACGCUAAGACGCGAAAGCGUGGGGAGCAAACAG
Molecule: ribosomal RNA, 429 nt
Filed under: uncultured bacterium
Lineage: Bacteria
Description: bacterial SSU rRNA
Rfam family: Bacterial small subunit ribosomal RNA
Source: RNAcentral